RNAcentral lists this ribosomal RNA (482 nucleotides) under uncultured bacterium. Its description in RNAcentral is "partial 16S ribosomal RNA". It matches the Rfam family "Bacterial small subunit ribosomal RNA", at positions 30 to 507 of the family's 1533-position model. The record is from RNAcentral.
AUUGAACGCUGGCGGCAUGCCUUACACAUGCAAGUCGAACGGUAACAGGUCUUCGGAUGCUGACGAGUGGCGAACGGGGGAGUAAUACAUCGGAACGUGCCCGAUCGUGGCGGAUAAUGAGGCGAAACCUCUGCUAAUACCGCAUACGACCUACGGAUGAAAGCGGGGGACCUUCGGGCUCCGCGCGGACGGAUCGGCCGAUGGCGGAUUAGGUCGUUGGUGGGAUACAAGCUUACCAAGCCGACGAUCUGUAGCUGGUCUGCGAGGAUGAUCAGCCACACUGGGACUGAGACACGGCCCAGACUCCUACGAGAGGCAGCAGUGGGGAAUUUUGGACAAUGGGCGAAAGCCUGAUCCAGCCAUGCCGCGUGCAGGAUGAAGGCCUUUGGGUUGUAAACUGCUUUUGUACGGAACGAAAAGCCUCUUUCUAAUAAAGAGGGGUCAUGACGGUACCGUAAGAAUAAGCACCGGCUAACUACGUG